Long non-coding RNA from Nomascus leucogenys (northern white-cheeked gibbon), 730 nucleotides. RefSeq lists it as uncharacterized. The record is from RefSeq and is a predicted model, not a curated record. Lineage: Eukaryota; Metazoa; Chordata; Mammalia; Primates; Hylobatidae. The transcript has 3 exons.
GGGGGGCGCGGACACGCGUGAUGUGCGCGGUCCCCGUGCAGCCCGCCCUGCCGCAGGCUGCCCUCCACCCCCAGCCCCAGCUCCAGCCCCCAGCCCGUCCCCACUGCUCAUAUCCGAGCAGAUAGACCCCGGCCCCACCCUCCCGUGCUGAGCCUCCUUUCUGCCGGGAAGUUCGUCCGGGAGUCAAACAUCGGUGCCCUCCGGUUGCGCCACGGAGGGGGAGCCAGGAUAGGAAGCUGCCGUGAAAUCAGGAAGCUGAACGCGCCGGGCCCCGGAUUCGAUCAGAAAAGGCUUCCACCCGCUCCCCUGAGCGAUCCCACGCUGAGGGACUGAACCCCGCACCCCAGCCGCGCUCACCACCCCCACCCUCUCGCCUGGGCUGCUCUGACCUGGGGAUUCCAGAACUGCCACUCAAAGUGCCAUAUGAGGAGCUGUGGUAACAGGGUAAUGUUCUCAUGACUCAAAAAUCAGUGGAAAAAGGUACAGGAUGAGAAGCCUUGUUUCCCAAUCCCAUCAACAGGUACUCACUUUCAUUAAUUUUCUGUGUAUUUUUCCAGUUUCUUUUCAUACACAAGCAAAUAUUGAUAUAUUCUUAUUUUUCUUCCUUUAAAAAAUGGUAGAUUAUGCACACUGUACUGCACCUUGCUUUACUUACUAACAUAUCAUGAACUUUUCUCAUGCCUGUGAUAUAAAAAUAAUUUAUGUUAUUUUAUUUUUUAAGAGACAGGGU